This 255-nucleotide ribosomal RNA is filed under the name uncultured bacterium. RNAcentral describes it as "partial 16S ribosomal RNA". It matches the Rfam family "Bacterial small subunit ribosomal RNA", at positions 220 to 473 of the family's 1533-position model. The record is from RNAcentral.
AAUAGAUGAGCCUAAGUCGGAUUAGCUAGUUGGUGGGGUAAAGGCCUACCAAGGCGACGAUCUGUAGCGGGUCUGAGAGGAUGAUCCGCCACACUGGGACUGAGACACGGCCCAGACUCCUACGGGAGGCAGCAGUGGGGAAUAUUGGACAAUGGGCGGAAGCCUGAUCCAGCCAUGCCGCGUGUGUGAAGAAGGCCUUUUGGUUGUAAAGCACUUAAGCGAGGAGGAGGCUACUCUAGUUAAUACCUAGAGAUA